GUGGGGAAUAUUGGGCAAUGGGCGCAAGCCUGACCCAGCAACGCCGCGUGAGGGAAGAAGGCUUUCGGGUUGUAAACCUCUGUCCUUGGUGACGAAACAAAUGACGGUAGCCAAGGAGGAAGCCCCGGCUAACUACGUGCCAGCAGCCGCGGUAAUACGUAGGGGGCGAGCGUUGUCCGGAAUUACUGGGCGUAAAGGGUGCGUAGGUGGCCUUUUAAGUUGGAUGUGAAAUACCCGGGCUUAACUUGGGGGGUGCAUCCAAAACUGGGAGGCUAGAGUGCAGGAGAGGAAAGCGGAAUUCCUAGUGUAGCGGUGAAAUGCGUAGAUAUUAGGAGGAACACCAGUGGCGAAGGCGGCUUUCUGGACUGUAACUGACACUGAGGCACGAAAGCGUGGGGAGCAAACAGGAUUAGAAACCCUUGUAGUCC
This 428-nucleotide ribosomal RNA is filed under the name uncultured bacterium. RNAcentral's name for it is "partial 16S ribosomal RNA". It matches the Rfam family "Bacterial small subunit ribosomal RNA", at positions 354 to 796 of the family's 1533-position model. The record is from RNAcentral.